UUUUUGCGACCGGCAGCAAGCAGAUCGGUUCGGCUCUUAUUCUUGUCCAUCCGAUCCGAUCCGAUACAGCUGCAAUUCUUUUAAUCAAUGCUUUUUCAAAACCAUUACCUUCAACAAUCGAACUGUAAGAAAAUCAAAUUUCAGAUAAACUUUCAAAAUAACCCUAAUUUGAAAGACUCAAAUACAGGAAAUCAAAUGAAAUUAAAUUAAAUGAACAAUUCAUAUACCUUUCGAGUUCUGUAAUUGAAUCGCUAAAAAAGAAGAAUCUGUACUGAAUUUCAAUUCUAUUCUAUUCUAUUCUGAAUACAUAAAUAUAUUUCUUCUGUUUUUCUUUCCCUUCACUGUUGGGC
This 350-nucleotide long non-coding RNA is filed under the name Nicotiana tabacum (common tobacco). Its description in RNAcentral is "long non-coding RNA (NTAB_LNC011871)". Lineage: Eukaryota; Viridiplantae; Streptophyta; Magnoliopsida; Solanales; Solanaceae. The record is from RNAcentral.